AGCAGAUACAGUGGCUAUACAUCUUGGAAGAUGCUCAUUCCUGUCUCCCUACAACUAUGGCUCAGGAAGGUCCUGAGUCUCAUCUACUGAAAGGCCAGGAGGUCAGCCCACUGAAGGCAUACACUUGUCUUCUUCCUAGCAUCAUGUGUAAUAGCUGAUCUCUGAAUCUGAUUAGACCUUGGAGAUCAUUUGGUCCAAGUGCCUCAUUUGAAAGCAGAGGACACUGAGGCACAGAGCAGGCACGGCCAUGCAGUGAGAUCACCGCACCUCGGGAGCCUGAUCCCAGAGCUUCUAUGCCCAGCACAGGCUCUUCUCCUUGUACUGCCCCAGCAGGGCCCUUUAGAGUCGAGGCUGGCCUUUGUGCCACCUCAUCUGUGCCAGCUCGGCUGUGUGAAUACAAUGAACAGAGGGUGUGACACGCAGCAAAUAAAGCUCCUUAUUGAUUGGGAGGCCACUGGAAAGAGUUGUUUUCAUGGACUUGGCAUCAGCAAUGUGCUCCUCUCUGCAGAGAGAGGGAGAGAGAGAGGUGAUCCUUGCCCAGAGAAAUUUCCUCUGAGAAGAAUGUGUUUUGAAAUUGGCUAUGCUAUAGGGCUAUAGAUGUAUAUUCAACUACUUAGAAGGAGCCUAUAAUUAUGCCAUCCUCUCUGAGUGUGUUGUUAUGAUAGCAGGAGAACUUAAGGCAGGCACUCAUGAUGAAUGGGUAUCUUGAUAAAAUACCAGCCCAAACUUGGUGUGAAAAUCUUUCUACUGAAGAUGCCAGAUUUCAAAAAGAGACACAGCUGCACCAGAGACAGUUACAAACAAGUGGAUUCCAUACUUGAAGUAAUAAAAGAGAGACUUUCACUUUCUCACUCCCUCCCUUAACACCUUGUAUAUUGCUCGAAUUUAACAAUUCCUACUGUGUUUAAUAAAUACCGGUUACUUCUAUGUCCCCAGCUUGACAGUGAGCUCAUGAAAAAUAGGAGCAAGCAGGAAAAAUAAAUAGGUCAGACUUUUAAAUCAAACUUUUGCUUUCCUUUGCACCAAAGUGAAUCAACCGUUAGAGAUAUUAUAGUAAAAUCAUCAUUGACUUGAUUCUGCUCUAUUUAAUUCACUGGCUGAAUUCAAAAGACAGUGAAGCAAACUGUUAACUGCCUAAACUCACUGUUUCAACAGUCCAUCUGAUAGAAGAAAGAUAAAGUAACCUGAAGAAAGUGGCUACUUUGAUUAAUAGGAAAGUAGCAACAAUAGAGACCUAUGGAGGUGAUUUGAUACCUGAGUGAGGAAAUCUUGGGCUGUCAGUGACACAGUGCAACUACUCAUUCUUUAUUGCUUUCUUGAUCCUGCAGUGUCAGAAUUCAUUUGCUGAAUAAAGAAAAGGAGUUUUACACUCUCAAAGAAGUAAUAAUGCUGCAAUAUGCCUCACUGGAAGCCUCACUCUAACAAAACAAAGGAAAUACAGGUGUCAAACAUCAUCAAGAAGACUAAUUUAUUGACCAAUCAAUUGCCUUGGAUCUGGCAGGAGUGGUUUUCUCUGAGGGUCUGAGACCAACAGCAACCAGGAGCAGCUCAAACUGGAUUUCUUCUCAGCCCUGUACAUAAAAGACAUUCUUUCCUUGCUAUGGAAAAAAGCAGAUGCAAUUAGAACCUGCUAAGCUAAUAGCUAAAAUAAUGCUCUGACAGCAAACAGAAACAGAAAGCGAAAACUUGGAAUUUGCGGGCAUGGAAAAUACUGCAAGGGAAGGACAGUUGAAUGUGUUCCAGGAUCCUAGGGCAGCCCCUGGCAGCUGCCCAGAGCACAGCAGGUCACACUGCUCCUGUGCAAGGAAAGACCUUUUCUCUCACUGGAGCCCAGGCUGCUGGAAAGUUUCUCCUGAAACAACAGGACACAGGGAUAGUCCCACAACAACAUAGCUCACCUGCUGAAACAACCCCACUGAACUAGAUUCUGGAGCAUAGACAGGGAGAGGAGCUGCUAAGGGAGAUGUCACUGUGCAGGGAACACUCUACUUUCUGUCUCCUACAUGCUGGUGCCAAAGAAGAUGUGUGAGUCAUAAAUCAGAGGAAGGACGAUUACAAUGGCAGGAAAGAUGAAGUGAGCAGAAUGUCAUUGGAAUUGGGCCAUUUCUCCAAGCUAUAGGGCUGACGUGAUGCUAUUUGUUGCAUCAUUUAUUCACCUAAUAAAGUGUUCAACAAAUA
Long non-coding RNA from Neofelis nebulosa (Clouded leopard), 2178 nucleotides. RefSeq lists it as uncharacterized. Lineage: Eukaryota; Metazoa; Chordata; Mammalia; Carnivora; Felidae. The record is from RefSeq and is a predicted model, not a curated record. The transcript is spliced from 4 exons.